RNAcentral lists this ribosomal RNA (502 nucleotides) under uncultured Glomus. Its description in RNAcentral is "SSU rRNA". It matches the Rfam family "Eukaryotic small subunit ribosomal RNA", at positions 569 to 1074 of the family's 1831-position model. The record is from RNAcentral. Lineage: Eukaryota; Fungi; Glomeromycota; Glomeromycetes; Glomerales; Glomeraceae.
AGCAGCCGCGGUAAUUCCAGCUCCAAUAGCGUAUAUUAAAGUUGUUGCAGUUAAAAAGCUCGUAGUUGAAUUUCGGGAUCAGUGGGUCGGUCGUGCCACUGGUAUGCACUGGCCCUACUGGUUCCUCCUUCUUGAAGAACUGUAAUGCCAUUAAUUUGGUGUUGCAGGGAAACAGGACUGUUACUUUGAAAAAUUAGAGUGUUUAAAGCAGGCAAUCGCUUGAAUACAUUAGCAUGGAAUAAUGAAAUAGGACGAUCGAUCCUAUUUUGUUGGUUUCUAGGAUUGACGUAAUGAUUAAUAGGGAUAGUUGGGGGCAUUAGUAUUCAAUUGUCAGAGGUGAAAUUCUUGGAUUUAUUGAAGACUAACUACUGCGAAAGCAUUUGCCAAGGAUGUUUUCAUUAAUCAAGAACGAAAGUUAGGGGAUCGAAGACGAUCAGAUACCGUCGUAGUCUUAACCAUAAACUAUGCCGACUAGGGAUCGGAUGAUGUUAAUUUUUAAUGA